This 1015-nucleotide unclassified non-coding RNA is filed under the name Hevea brasiliensis (rubber tree). The record is from RNAcentral. Lineage: Eukaryota; Viridiplantae; Streptophyta; Magnoliopsida; Malpighiales; Euphorbiaceae.
UACAAUGGACAACAGUCUUUUCUUUUUGAACUGUGCCCUUUUUUUAACUUAAGCUGAAAUCUCUUUCUCUCUCCCAAUGGGACUGUAAUAGACAAGUAUCACUCUCCUUAAUGGGCAAAAGCCACUUUCUUCAAUGGGCUGAAAGGCCCCUACAAUGGGCAAGAGCCAAAUAACAUUUUCAUAAUUCUUUAUAGUGUUAAUCCCCUUGUUCUAAUCUAAUUUAUUAAUCCAACUCAACUUAGAAAUAAUACUAUGAUAGGAGUUUUACUCUAUUCAGGAAAUAAUUCUCAAUUAUAUUGAGGAAUAGUUCUUCCACUCAAGUUAGAAAAAGAUCUAUUUCUAAAUCCCACUAGGAUUUUGAGUUACAAAUCUAACAUAUGAAGAUUGGGUUUACUUGGGUUUGGACCAGACAUUGCUAAAAGGUUAUAACUAGCAAAUUCGUUAAUUAGUCCUUGAUCCUCAUAGACCCCUUAAACUUGAUGUUUCUUUUAACACAAUUGUAGAGACAUUUUUUGAAACAAUUUAUUGGGAGGGACAGAAGGGCAAGGUUGGGGCCGAGUACCUUCACUUCUUGCAAGAUACUUGGUUGAUUGUGUGUGCUGUUGCAGAAGUGAAAUUGCCAAUACAUUUAUAGGGCAAAUUAUUGCAGGUUUUUCUGAAAAGAGAAGAAAAGAGGAAAAAUCAUGCUUCACUUUUGGAAGAUAUAAGAAUUCUGGAAGCAUAAACUCACAUAGAAGAAAAAAAAAGAAAAAACAACACAUUGUCCCUCACCAAGACAGAUUUUGAUAUUUGAAGAUGUGUGCAUUUCUCUUCAUCCAAAAACUCCAUAAUACAACAAAAAAACAGAAUUGUUAAUAACUUUGGCAUCUUUCUUGCUUGCCUCCAAAACCUCUCCAUGUUAAAUCAAUAGAAGUCUAAAGAUUCUAGACAUACCCAAUGCUUUUCAAAGUUGUGCUAAAAAGGUGAUCCCAAAUUGCUUAAGCCACCUCACGUUGUGAGUGACUUACUAUUCACU